GUGUAUUCCUGAGGCUGCCGUGCAUCCCGUCACCCUAGAGCCAGAACUGGAGAUUGUCUCGGGAGCUGCGAGCCCGGGGAGGAAGAGCCUUUGUGGAGAAUACACAUCAACUCCAUUAACGAUGUUUUCGGAGUCCGUCAAUAACUCACCAAAACGUAACUUAAACACGAUGAAUUUAGGAGAUUAAACAAUUUCAUUAAUAUUGAAAUGGCCGCUGAGGCUGAGCGCGCGCGCUUGAAAUGCAAGCACACGUUUUUCAAUAUUAACAGAAGUACUUGAAAAGAAGAAUAAUGUCACCUUCUUAAUUCAGCAAAAAUAGCCGGGCUGGGGGAGGGAGAGCGGCGGCGGCUCUGCAGCGCGGCUGCUGAGACACGGAGGGACGGUCCCCAUCAAGCAGGGCUCCCCCAAACCUGGCAGGGAGCCUCAAAACGCAUUUUCCCAUCGCGACCAGCGCCGACCUCGUGGGUGUUAAACCGUGCUCCCCUCGUCCCAGCCCGGCUGCCCUCGGUCCCAUCUAAUCCCUCUCUCUCGGGGCAGGAUGUCGUUUAGAGAAUAAUAAAAAGAAAAAACCAAACCAGCUGAUGCAAAAAGGAGCCCGCAAGCUGUAAAGUUAAAGGAAAGUCGGCUUCCGUUGUCAUUUGCUGCUCCGAGUGCAGACGAGAUGCCUCAGUGAAAAACGUUGUAUUUCAUAUUUCUGUCAUGCAUACAAUGGAAAGCACCCUACGUCCAACAUAGGAAGCAUUCUAUUCAACACAGCUUUUUGGAGGUUUCGAUACAAAUUUUUGUACCAAAAAUUGGCCUCACUAUGGAGCAAAUUCAGAGCUCCCUGUCGCUGCUGGGGUUCUAUAUACCACACCAGGCCCCCUGAUCUGCUCGAGGGCACUUUGACAGCCAGUGCUGCAACAGCCAAGGUGCAGCAUGAACUGGGGCCUUCGCAACUGCAGAAAGGUCAAAUCUUGUUUCCUUGUUGAAGGUCUUCCAAGCCCCAGCAAAAAUACUUCAGUUCUUUAAUUUUGCCCACAUGUAUCUUGUAUGUUUAGCCCUAGCACCUCAAAGCUUGGAUGUUUUCCUGUGA
Molecule: long non-coding RNA, 1075 nt
Filed under: Zonotrichia albicollis (white-throated sparrow)
Lineage: Eukaryota; Metazoa; Chordata; Aves; Passeriformes; Passerellidae
Description: lncRNA (ENSZALG00000009570.1)
Source: RNAcentral